CAGUAGCCGCGGGAAUACGUAGGGUGCGAGCGUUAAUCGGAAUUACUGGGCGUAAAGCGUGCGCAGGCGGUUGUAUAAGACAGGUGUGAAAUCCCUGGGCUUAACCUGGGAACUGCGCUUGUGACUGCACAGCUAGAGUAUGGCAGAGGGGGGUGGAAUUCCACGUGUAGCAGUGAAAUGCGUAGAGGUGUGGAGGAACACCGAUGGCGAAGGCAGCCCCCUGGGCCAAUACUGACGCUCAUGCACGAAAGCGUGGGGAGCAAACAGGAUUAGAUACCCCUGUAGUCCCUGUCUCUUAUAC
Molecule: ribosomal RNA, 301 nt
Filed under: uncultured bacterium
Lineage: Bacteria
Description: partial 16S ribosomal RNA
Rfam family: Bacterial small subunit ribosomal RNA
Source: RNAcentral